GAUGCCAUCCAACCAUCUCAUCCUCUGCCGCCCCCUACUCCUCCAGUCCUCAAUCUUUCCCAGCAUCAGGGUCUUUUCCAACGAGUUGGCUCUUCGCGUCACGUGGCCAAAGUGUUGGAGCUUCACCGUCGGCAUCAGUCCCUCCAGCGAACACCCAGGACUGAUCUCCUUUAGGAUGGACUGGUUGACUCUCCUUGC
This is a long non-coding RNA of Cervus elaphus (red deer), 198 nucleotides long. RefSeq lists it as uncharacterized. NCBI's taxonomy places the organism in Eukaryota, Metazoa, Chordata, Mammalia, Artiodactyla, Cervidae. The transcript has 3 exons. The record is from RefSeq and is a predicted model, not a curated record.